Molecule: ribosomal RNA, 301 nt
Filed under: uncultured bacterium
Lineage: Bacteria
Description: partial 16S ribosomal RNA
Rfam family: Bacterial small subunit ribosomal RNA
Source: RNAcentral
CAGCCGCCGCGGUAAUACGAAGGGUGCAAGCGUUAAUCGGAAUUACUGGGCGUAAAGCGUGCGUAGGCGGUGAGUUAAGUCUGCUGUGAAAUCCCCGGGCUCAACCUGGGAAUGGCAGUGGAUACUGGCUCGCUAGAGUGUGUCAGAGGAUGGUGGAAUUCCCGGUGUAGCGGUGAAAUGCGUAGAGAUCGGGAGGAACAUCAGUGGCGAAGGCGGCCAUCUGGGACAACACUGACGCUGAGGCACGAAAGCGUGGGGAGCAAACAGGAUUAGAACCCCGGUAGUCCCUGUCUCUUAUACA